GAUGAACGCUGGCGGCGUGCCUAAUACAUGCAAGUCGAGCGAACAGACGAUGAGCUUGCUCCUCUGACGUUAGCGGCGGACGGGUGAGUAACACGUGUAUAACCUACCUAUAAUACUGGGAUAACUUCGGGACACCGGAGCUAAUACCGGGUAAUAUAUUCAUCCGCAUGGUUCAAUAGUGAAAGACUGUUUUUCUGUCACUGAUAGAUUGAUCCCCACCGCCUUAGCUAGUUGGUAAGGUAACGGCUUACCAAUGUGACGAUGGCUAGCCGACCUGAGAGGGUGCUAGGCCACACUCGAACUGAGAAACGGGCCAGAGUCGUACGCGACGCAGCAGCAGGGAAUCGUCCGUAAUGGGAGAAAGCAUCACGGAGCGACGACGCGUGAGUGAAGAAGGUCUUCGGAUCGUAAAAAUACGUUAUUAGGGAAGAACACAUGCGUAAGUCACUAUGCUCGUCUUGACGGUACAUACUGAGAAAGACACGGCUAAAUACGU
RNAcentral lists this ribosomal RNA (496 nucleotides) under uncultured bacterium. RNAcentral describes it as "partial 16S ribosomal RNA". It matches the Rfam family "Bacterial small subunit ribosomal RNA", at positions 28 to 506 of the family's 1533-position model. The record is from RNAcentral.